RNAcentral lists this ribosomal RNA (751 nucleotides) under uncultured archaeon. Its description in RNAcentral is "bacterial SSU rRNA". It matches the Rfam family "Archaeal small subunit ribosomal RNA", at positions 125 to 880 of the family's 1478-position model. The record is from RNAcentral.
GAUAACCUCGCGAAAGUGAGGGUAACACCUGAUAGGGAAAUUUUUCUGGAAUGAUUUUUUCCCAGAAACUUGUGCCUUAGGAUGGGCCGGCGGCAGAUUAGGCAGUUGGCGGUGUAACGGACCACCAAACCGAAGAUCUGUACGGGCCAUGAGAGUGGGAGCCCGGAGAGGGACACUGAGAUACUGGUCCCAGCCCUACGGGGUGCAGCAGGCGCGAAACCUUUUCAAUGCACGCAAGUGUGAGAAGGGAAUUCCAAGUGCUCAAGUUUAACUUGGGCUUUUGUCAAGUGUAAAAAGCUUGGCGAAUAAGGGGUGGGAAAGACUGGUGCCAGCCGCCGCGGUAACACCAGCGCCUCGAGUGGGGAUCGCGAUUAUUGGGUCUAAAGCGUCCGUAGCAGGCUUUGUAAAUGCUUUGUGAAAUUGUCUGGCAUAACCAGACAGCGUGCAGAGUAGACUGCAGAACUUGAGACCGGGAGAGGUUAGCAGUAUUCCUUGGGUACCGGUAAAAUGGGUUAAUCCAAGGAGGACUACCAAUGGCGAAGGCAGCUAACCAGAACGGUUCUGACUGUGAGGGACGAAAGCUAGGGGAGCAAAACGGAUUAGAUACCCGAGUAGUCCUAGCCGUAAGCGCUGUGAGCAAGGUAUUGCGUAUCCCUUGAGGAUGCGCAGUGUCGAAGAGAAGUCGUUAAGCUCACCACCAGGGAAGUACGGUCGCAAGGCUGAAACUUUAAGGAAUUGGCGGGGGAGCACA